RNAcentral lists this ribosomal RNA (767 nucleotides) under uncultured Granulicatella sp. RNAcentral's name for it is "bacterial SSU rRNA". It matches the Rfam family "Bacterial small subunit ribosomal RNA", at positions 28 to 776 of the family's 1533-position model. Lineage: Bacteria; Bacillati; Bacillota; Bacilli; Lactobacillales; Carnobacteriaceae. The record is from RNAcentral.
GACGAACGCUGGCGGCGUGCCUAAUACAUGCAGGUCGAACGAGAGCGACCGGUGCUUGCACUGGUCAAUCUAGUGGCGAACGGGUGAGUAACACGUGGGUAACCUGCCCAUCAGAGGGGGAUAACAUCCGGAAACGGAUGCUAAAACCGCAUAGGUCUUCGAGCCGCAUGGCUUGAAGAGGAAAAGAGGCGCAAGCUUCUGCUGAUGGAUGGACCCGCGGUGCAUUAGCUAGUUGGUGAGGUAACGGCUCACCAAGGCCGUGAUGCAUAGCCGACCUGAGAGGGUGAUCGGCCACAUUGGGACUGAGACACGGCCCAAACUCCUACGGGAGGCAGCAGUAGGGAAUCUUCCGCAAUGGACGCAAGUCUGACGGAGCAACGCCGCGUGAGUGAAGAAGAUUUUCGGAUCGUAAAACUCUGUUGUUAGAGAAGAACAAGUGCUAGAGUAACUGUUAGCGCCUUGACGGUAUCUAACCAGAAAGCCACGGCUAACUACGUGCCAGCAGCCGCGGUAAUACGUAGGUGGCAAGCGUUGUCCGGAUUUAUUGGGCGUAAAGCGAGCGCAGGCGGUUCCUUAAGUCUGAUGUGAAAGCCCCCGGCUCAACCGGGGAGGGUCAUUGGAAACUGGGGAACUUGAGUGCAGAAGAGGAGAGUGGAAUUCCAUGUGUAGCGGUGAAAUGCGUAGAUAUAUGGAGGAACACCAGUGGCGAAGGCGACUCUCUGGUCUGUAACUGACGCUGAGGCUCGAAAGCGUGGGUAGCAAACAGG